ACGGAGACAUGGCAUGAAGCCAGAGAGUGAGAGACAUUAACUCAUUAGACUGGAACUUGAACUGAUUCUAUUGAACUGAUUCCAUCUCAUUUU
Callithrix jacchus (white-tufted-ear marmoset) is the source of this 93-nucleotide non-coding RNA. Lineage: Eukaryota; Metazoa; Chordata; Mammalia; Primates; Cebidae. The record is from Rfam.